UNUGACUUGAGUGCAGAAGGGGAGAGUGGAAUUCCAUGUGUAGCGGUGAAAUGCGUAGAUAUAUGGAGGAACACCNGUGGCGAAAGCGGCUCUCUGGUCUGUCACUGACGCUGAGGCUCGAAAGCGUGGGUAGCGAACAGGAUUAGAUACCCUGGUAGUCCACGCCGUAAACGAUGAGUGCUAGGAGUUAGGCCCUUUCCGGGGCUUAGUGCCGGAGCUAACGCAAUAAGCACUCCGCCUGGGGAGUACGACCGCAAGGUUGAAACUCAAAGGAAUUGACGGGGGCCCGCACAAGCGGUGGAGCAUGUGGUUUAAUUCGAAGCAACGCGAAGAACCUUACCAGGUCUUGACAUCCCGAUGCUAUUCUUAGAGAUAGGAAGUUACUUCGGUACAUCGGAGACAGGUGGUGCAUGGUUGUCGUCAGCUCGUGUCGUGAGAUGUUGGGUUAAGUCCCGCAACGAGCGCAACCCUUACUGUUAGUUGCCAUCAUUAAGUUGGGCACUCUAGCGAGACUGCCGGUAAUAAACCGGAGGAAGGUGGGGAUGACGUCAAAUCAUCAUGCCCCUUAUGACCUGGGCUACACACGUGCUACAAUGGUCGGUACAACGAGUUGCGAGCCGGUGACGGCAAGCUAAUCUCUGAAAGCCGAUCUCAGUUCGGAUUGGAGGCUGCAACUCGCCUCCAUGAAGUCGGAAUCGCUAGUAAUCGCGGAUCAGCACGCCGCGGUGGAUACGUUCCCGGGCCUUGUACACACCGCCCGUCACACCACGAGAGUUUGUAACACCCGAAGUCGGUGAGGUANCCUUUUAGGGGCCAGCCGCCUAAG
RNAcentral lists this ribosomal RNA (826 nucleotides) under uncultured bacterium. Its description in RNAcentral is "bacterial SSU rRNA". It matches the Rfam family "Bacterial small subunit ribosomal RNA", at positions 636 to 1461 of the family's 1533-position model. The record is from RNAcentral.